Molecule: non-coding RNA, 442 nt
Organism: Leptonychotes weddellii (Weddell seal)
Lineage: Eukaryota; Metazoa; Chordata; Mammalia; Carnivora; Phocidae
Source: RefSeq, a predicted model, not a curated record
CCUCUCUUGAGGAUCUCAGACUACUUCGGUACAUGUCUGUCAGCUCAGAGAUGGUGUUUAUUCAUUUGAAGGCAAUCUCUGCAAACAUAUGUGUUCAGAAUCACCAGGGUAGUGUUCUCCAGUGAUGUGGUCAGAAAGGCUCUGUUCGAAUGCCGGGCCUACCACGGGAGCAUGAGGGACGCCUCAAAUUCCAUUUGGAGGCAUCUUUGAGCUCGCCGAGUAGACCCCAUGAGCAAAGCUCACCCUCCCAAGUUGAAAAAAUUUAUGGACAAGAAAUUAUCAUUGAAAUUAAAUGGUGGCAGACAUGUCCAAGGAAUAUUGCGGGGGUUCCAUCCGUUUAUGAAUCUUGUGAUAGAUGAAUGUGUGGAGAUGGCAACUAGUGGGCCACAGAACAAUACGAGGAAAGAGUAUCAUCAUGUUAGAAGCCUUGGAACAAGUAUAA